RNAcentral lists this ribosomal RNA (253 nucleotides) under uncultured bacterium. RNAcentral's name for it is "partial 16S ribosomal RNA". It matches the Rfam family "Bacterial small subunit ribosomal RNA", at positions 524 to 776 of the family's 1533-position model. The record is from RNAcentral.
UACAGAGGGUGCAAGCGUUAAUCGGAAUUACUGGGCGUAAAGCGUGCGUAGACGGUUAUGUAAGUCGGGUGUGAAAGCCCCGGGCUCAACCUGGGAAUUGCAUUCGAGACUGCAUAGCUAGGGUGCGGAAGAGGGAAGCGGAAUUUCCGGUGUAGCGGUGAAAUGCGUAGAUAUCGGAAGGAACAUCAGUGGCGAAAGCGGCUUCCUGGUCCAGCACCGACGUUCAGGCACGAAAGCGUGGGGAGCAAACAGG